UUAAGUCCCGCAACGAGCGCAACCCUCGCUGUGUGUUACAAGUGUCACACGGAACUGCCGGUCAUAAACCGGAGGAAGGUGGGGAUGACGUCAAGUCAGCAUGGCCUUUAUAUCCUGGGCUACACACACGCUACAAUGGGAAGGGACAAUAGGUUGCGAAGCCGCGAGGCGGAGCCAAUCCAGCAAAACUUCCCUCAGUUCAGAUUGCAGGCUGCAACCCGCCUGCAUGAAGUUGGAGUUGCUAGUAAACGCAGGUCAGCCAUACUGCGUUGAAUACGUUCCCGGGGCUU
Molecule: ribosomal RNA, 290 nt
Filed under: uncultured Anaerolineaceae bacterium
Lineage: Bacteria; Bacillati; Chloroflexota; Anaerolineae; Anaerolineales; Anaerolineaceae
Description: partial 16S ribosomal RNA
Rfam family: Bacterial small subunit ribosomal RNA
Source: RNAcentral